Molecule: non-coding RNA, 1584 nt
Organism: Leptonychotes weddellii (Weddell seal)
Lineage: Eukaryota; Metazoa; Chordata; Mammalia; Carnivora; Phocidae
Source: RefSeq, a predicted model, not a curated record
AUGGAGCUGACCAGGGACAGAAAAUACCUAGCUGUGGGGCUGCAAGAUGGCGGCGCACAGCAGGACCGUGAGGGUGGUUCGCAGCCGGCUGGGCCCACAGCGGAGGCCUACCCGCUGGGCCGUUUCACGUGUCCCAUCUGUUCAGAGGUGUAUGAGAAGCUGGUGCAAGUGCCCUGUGGUCACGUCUUUUGCUCUGCAUGCCUGCAGGAAUGUCUGAAGCCAAAGAAGCCUGUCUGUGGGGUGUGUCGCAGCUCGCUGGCACCUGGCGUCUGAGCCGCGGAGCUCAAGGGGCACAUUGAGAGCACAGAGACUUCUUGCCAAGGCUGCCGUAAAAAUUCCUUCCUGUCCAAGAUCCGGGCACACGUGGCUACCUGUUCCAAGUACCAGAAUUACAUCAUGGAAGGUGGGAAGGCCACCACCAAGGAUGCCUCCCUUCAGCCAAGGAACGUCCCAAACCGUCACACCUUUCUUUGCCCUUACUGUCCCGAGAACUUUGAUCAAGAAGGACUAGGGGAACACUGCAAGUUAUCCCAUAGCACCUAUACCAAAUCUGUGGUUUGCCCCGUAUUUGCCUCAAUGCCCUGGGGAGACCCCAACUACCGCAGCGCCAUUUUCAUAGAGCACAUCCAGCGCCGGCACCAGUUUUCUUACGACACUUUUGUGGAUUACGAUGUUGAUGAAGAGGACAUGAGGUGUUGCAGCACUCCAUCUUCGAUCAGUGAGCAGUCUCUGCUGUCCAUCUCCUGUUCCAGAGCUUCCAUUGUGUGUUAGGCGUGAAACAUGUGACUCAUACACCUUAAAUGUACAACAGACCUGGAAGUGAGCUGUGGUGUUAGGACUGGGUCCCUUCUGACAGAGAAAGAGGUCUCCAGGUCAGAGCUGUCCUUUCCUUUCGGGUCUUUCCUACUGUUCAUUCUGUCACAUGUCUGGUCUUUGAUUGCUCCUCAGCUACGUCCUGGAGCUUCUGCUUCCUCUUCUGGAAGAGAACCCAGCUUCUCCACCUAUCUUUGUUUCACACUUGUUCCUCCAAUCUAGUGUUCAUCUCUCAGGUCCUCUGAGCCAGCCAGAACCUUUUCUGGGUCAUGAAUAGCACAAAUGAGACCAGCAUCUUCUCUCCUUGUCCCUGAGGUGUGUGUAUCCGAUUGGUGACGGAGCUCCUUCUGUGCUCUGGAAGUUCUUGUUUGUUGGCCCUUAGCAGCAGCUGCCAAAAGCUGGAGUUUACCUCCUGGGAAACAUUUCAAAAGGCCUGUUGGGGUGAAUGUUCUGGGUUUAGCAUGAUCUGAUGCUGGAAGUUUUGAUUAGUGGUAUUUUCCUUCCACUCCUGCACACCCUUAGAAUUAACUGGUUCAGUCUUAAAUGCCUGCAUGGUGCCUUUUUAGGAUAAGGUGUAACCAUAUAUUUUUAGUGAGAAUAAGUGUUUCUAGGUUAGGAAAGUUAAACUCCAUUUAUCCAUAAGUGGGGAGGAGGGUCAGCUAAGAGCAGUGUGAGGGCCAUAACUUUUUGGUUCUGAUUUUCAAACUAAUGCCAUAUUUUCAAAUGACUGAGUCAUGUUUACCACUCUAUAUAGAGCUUGCUUACAUUCUU